CUUUCCAUCUUGUUUGAGCCUGCUGUCCUGCCAGCUCACCCCUGGGCUCAUUUCGCAGUCUUCUGGACUGUAAUCUCUCUUUCCCCCCGGCGUUCUGCUGCCAGAUCUGCCUGAAAUGCUGCUUUUGCAUGAAAAUACCAGCCUGCCAUCUCAACAAGAAGAUGUCUUUCUGCAAACCAGGAAAAGAGCCCUCACCAGCCAUCAGAUCUGCUGGCACCUUGAACUUGGACUUCCCAGCCUCCAGGACUGU
Molecule: long non-coding RNA, 250 nt
Filed under: Homo sapiens (human)
Lineage: Eukaryota; Metazoa; Chordata; Mammalia; Primates; Hominidae
Description: HSALNT0290922
Source: RNAcentral